RNAcentral lists this ribosomal RNA (468 nucleotides) under uncultured bacterium. RNAcentral describes it as "partial 16S ribosomal RNA". It matches the Rfam family "Bacterial small subunit ribosomal RNA", at positions 28 to 507 of the family's 1533-position model. The record is from RNAcentral.
GACGAACGCUGGCGGCGUGCUUAACACAUGCAAGUCGAACGGAAAGGCCCUGCUUUUGUGGGGCGCUCGAGUGGCGAACGGGUGAGUAACACGUGAGUAACCUGCCCUUGACUUUGGGAUAACUUCAGGAAACUGGGGCUAAUACCGGAUAGGAGCUCCUGCUGCAUGGUGGGGGUUAGAAAGUUUCGGCGGUUGGGGAUGGACUCGCGGCUUAUCAGCUUGUUGGUGGGGUAGUGGCUUACCAAGGCUUUGACGGGUAGCCGGCCUGAGAGGGUGACCGGCCACAUUGGGACUGAGAUACGGCCCAGACUCCUACGGGAGGCAGCAGUGGGGAAUAUUGCACAAUGGGCGGAAGCCUGAUGCAGCAACGCCGCGUGCGGGAUGACGGCCUUCGGGUUGUAAACCGCUUUCGCCUGUGACGAAGCGUGAGUGACGGUAAUGGGUAAAGAAGCACCGGCUAACUACGUG